Molecule: RNase P RNA, 322 nt
Filed under: Bacteroidetes bacterium HGW-Bacteroidetes-13
Lineage: Bacteria; Pseudomonadati; Bacteroidota
Description: RNase P RNA component class A
Rfam family: Bacterial RNase P class A
About the family: Ribonuclease P (RNase P) is a ubiquitous endoribonuclease, found in archaea, bacteria and eukarya as well as chloroplasts and mitochondria. Its best characterised activity is the generation of mature 5'-ends of tRNAs by cleaving the 5'-leader elements of precursor-tRNAs. Cellular RNase Ps are ribonucleoproteins.
Source: RNAcentral
UUAGCAGGUCACCUUAUCGCUGUCCUGAUUUUAUCGGGAGGGAGGAAAGUCCGGACACCACAGAGCAGCAUAGCGGGUAACGCCCGUCUCUCGAAUUUUCGAGAAGGACAAGUGCAACAGAAAGAAUGUACAGGUAAUGCUGUAGUGAAAUCAGGUAAACUCUAUGCGGUGCAAUGCCAAAUAAACCGAUGCUUGAGGGCUGCUCGCUCGAGUCGGAGGGUAGGCAGAUAGAUUGUGUCAGCAAUGGCUCAACCAGAUAAAUGAUAAGGCUUUCUGAUUUUUUCAGAAAUGUACAGAAUCCGGCUUAUGGCCUGCUUUUUUA